GACAGAUGGUGGGCAGGGAGGGUAGUGCUAUGACCUCAGCGCGGUGCCUGGGGAGCACUGAUAUGCAGCCUUUGCUAGCACUUGCCAGGAAAAGAAGUGACCUUGCUCUGCUGACUGGGACCUGGGGGCCUUGGGAUGAAAUGUUGGCAGCAAAGGACCUGUUUGCAGAGCUUCACUGUCCCUGCACCAGCAGAGGAACUGAUGCCUUCAGCUACCUCCAUCCAACAGGAAGCCACACAGCUCCUUCUCCCUGGCAUUUGGCAGAGAGCACUCGGCUGUCCUUCCAUGUGAGAAAACAAGUAAAGAUGGCAAGAAAAACGACAUAUGAAAUUAGUGAAAGAGGAAAUAUAUGACUAAAAUCCUGCACCAAGAUGUGAACCUACCUGCAGAUGGGAAGGCUGGUAAAUACAUUAAUUCCACCUUCAAAUUAUUCUCCCUCAAACUGAGAUCUUGGUUCAAGUUUCCAAUUUGAUGUGGUUGAAGAAGACACAAGUGGAGAGACAAGAGGUUGGUGGAAGUGCCUAAGGUAACUGAGCAGGUUUGGCACUGUUCAUGGCACCCACUUUUGUGCAGGGUCUGCAAGCUCAGCCCCCGAGAGACACUUUCCAGGGAUCUCUCCAUACACAGCCUCAGAUUGGGAGGGCUGUGGUCAGCAAAGGGUACGGAAUGGGUUCCCAGAUUGGGUGGCACUUGCUCUCUACGUAUGCCAGGCUCAAUGCAAGGCUGAGCUGAUGGGCCUAGAAGUCACGAGAUAAACAGCUCAUAGAACUGUGGAGAAAAGAUCACUGUGAACUGGAAUGCAAAUGGGUAACUGGUUAGUACUUGGGCAGGUGGGUAGGAUUGGACACAUCUUACUUAAGAAUUACUAUGUAUAAAUGCACCAUUUUAGGGAAAAGAAAUCAUUAUUUGCACUUGCAAUUUUUUGUGCUCCCUUUUAUGCGACCCUCAGCCUUGGAAACCCAAGUUUAAAUAAAGUGAAUAGCUAGCCCUUUAAGGCAAGAGACAAAACAAAAGCCAGAACUCCACACAUAAUCCACUGAAGCCCUUUACUUCCUGUUUUUGAUCAGCAGCCCAUUUUUCUUUCACUGUUGUGAGAGAUUUCAAUGGCUUUAAUUUAUUCAUUAAUCUACAUGUAUUUCUGCACCAUAUUUUUUGCCAGUUAAGUCUAUAAAAAGAUAUUUGUCAUGGGACUGAAAAUAAAAUAUUUUAAAACCUGUAAAAUCAUGGAAACAGAUUUGAUUAAAUUCCAAAUGACUAGCUUUGCAUAUAAUUUCCCCCUCUGGACUGUGUGCCUUAAAGAUAAAUAUCAUGUCUUCUUCAUCACAUCAAUAAUAGGUGUUAGAUACAUAUUUAUUGGAUUAAUGUGUCUCUGUUAUCUAUUGCUGUGUAACAAAGUAUCCUAAAGCUUAGUGGAGUAAAAUAACAGCCUCUGGAUUUUAUUCUUUGCAGGUUUUUUUGCCAGGCAGUUCAUUUCUGCUCCAUGUACCCUCACCUGCAACUCCUUGCCUAGGCCCAGAGGAUCCACUUCCAAGGUGGCUCAUUCCCAUGGCUCACCUGUCUCUGCAAGUUGUCAGGGAUGGGAAAAGUCAGGCUCAGAAAGGAUGCUGGGACAGUGGGGGUCUGCUUCUUCUCCAUGUCAUCUCAGGGCUUCUACUUUUCCACAUUUUCUCUCUACAUGGUCCUGCCACAUGUCACACAUCUCCAGGGGAGCAGCUAGACAUGCUCAUGUUAGAAAAAUGCCAAAGGGAAACUGAUAAAACCUGGUGCAGUUUAGACUGUGACUCAGAAUGGAGUCUGUUCUGCUGCACUCCACAGACUCAGGGUGGGAGAGGACCACACAAGGGCAUGGGUAGCAGUGGCAUGAGUAACUGAUCCAUCUUUAGAAACUAAUAUCUCUUGAAUGCACGAACAUAGUCAUUGAAGAACCCUUCAGGUUUGAAGAAAGAAAGAAAUCGAAAGACAAGUGAAAGAAAGUACUACACAAAGCCAUAUAUCUAUAUAAAGAGAGAGCAUGGUGCCCUGGGAGGUGACAGGUGAAAUAUAGUAGAGAAAUACAUGGAAACAUGUGAGGUCCAGUUCCAUAAAGUGCAAUGUUACAUGAUGUCACACUGCUAAGCUUAUGAAAUGCUAUUAGCUGCGUUCUCCCAAACAAAAAUAUUUUAAUAGAUUUACGAUGAAGAAGGAAUUUGAAUAACCAAGGACAAUGGACUAAAGUCAUGGUUAUUAGAGGACUUCUUUCUGGAAUUGGUACUAGACCAUCACACAUAGAACACAGGAGUAGGAUGGACCACUCAAAUCCUAUAAUAUAAAUUCUUGUAUCCUUGCUUUCUCUUUUAAAAAAUAGGCACAUGAGAUUCUUCUAGGUAAGUCACAAUAUCUGAAUUUAUUAAUAUGUUAUAAUGACUAUUUUUAUAUAAGUUAAAGUGUGAAAAAUAUUUCAGUAGAUCAUGGUAUAUGUCCAUAUGGUAUAGCUGGUAUGUCAGAUGCAAUUUUAGCAUCUUAUAGUUAACAUCGUGAGGGGAGAGAUGUACUAAUGCUUUCACAGGAAGGGCUCCCGCACAAUUGUGCAAAACCUCACUGCAGAGAUUGCUGAAUGAGCAUCGCAGAAGAGACCUUGCCCUGUUCUUUGGCCAUAUCUCAGUGCCCACAUAUGCUAUUAUGCAAUAGCCUUGGGCUCACUUUGGAAAUUUACAAAACAUUACCCAGAAGUUUUGCUGUUAAAAAGAUCCUGCAGAACAUCGCAUCCCUUCUACUUCUGGCCUGGCCUCACAACAGGCUCCUCUGGCACCUUCUAAGUUUCAGCCUUUGUCUCUACUCCUGCUCCCUCCAGAAGAGCUCUGUAGGCUUGGGGUUGGUGCUUCUCCUCAUCAACAGGAAGGUACCACUGUGCAACCCCACAGGGAGCAGAAGAGCCCUUGGAGAAAGGACUGCCCUAAACUGAGGCGCCCUCCACCUGCUUCUGUGAGCCUCCUUAGAAGAACGUGGCAAGAUGCCUGUGGGGCAGGUCCGCCGAGGAAGCCUACUUGGGCAUGGGUUUCCAGGGAGAACAGGCAACUGUGGAAGCUGAUUCAUUUGCUUGACACUCUUAUCCUCUGAGCUUCUGUCCUUCCCACACCCCUGCCUACUCAUCACACGUAUCACACACUCACACAGAUGUGUACACCCUUACAUAUAGAAAUGCACGUUCACCGAUGCAGCUGGACACAUGCACUUACAUGCAAUUGUUUACUGGGCGCCUAGUUUUGGUUUUGGAAGAUGGAGACAUUCUGGAGAUUGACUGCACAAUAAUUUAAAUAUCUUUCACAUUACUGAACGGAACAUUUAAAAAUGGUUAAGAUUGUAAAUUUUAUGUUAUGUGUAUUUUGCCACAAUCUAAAAACUUAUAAAAAGAAGACAGUGAUAUUCACUGUGUGUGUAUGUGGGGGGGGGGGGAUUGGUUACAUCUUUUGUUCCUAAGGAGAAGGCAGCUUUCCUCCACCUGGCCUCCUGGAUGGCCCUCCAAUGAUCACCUGUGGCUCUGCCGGAAAGUAGAUUGAGGGUGAUCUCAGACCAUUGGCAAUACGAUGUGCCUAGGGCAGGUUAAGCAAAAAGAAAACAUCCUCCAUUCUGGAACUGUCCAUGGUGUGGUUUGACAUCUUUCCAGAAAGAAAGAAAAGUAAGUUGAGAAAGGGCAGUGUACCAAAAAAGUCAGAAUAAUGGUCCUGACUUAGACUCCAAGCUUUAUUUCAGAGGCACUUUAUAAAUUCCUUCUUGUGGCUUUAAAUGUCAUGACCAUUCUUUGUAAAAACUCUCCUGAGGUUUACAUAUAGAUAGGAGUGGGAAGAGAGGGCCACUCAUUUUUGCCCACUGCUCACUACUGUAGCUGGGGCAUGACUGUAAAUUCUUCACCCAGCCUCCCUUCCCUUCCUUCCCCAUGACACCUCCUUCUAGAGUAGAAAAUUUCUCUCUAACUCUUCCAGUGUCAAGGGCAAUGGAGGAGAAAGGCCAUCCCCAGAGAUGGAAUCUGAACAUUCGUGUCAGAGGGUUGGGCAUCUUUUUACAAGGACAGUUGUUAUUUAUAUCCAUUGACUUCCCUCUGGAACUACAGCUGUGGCCAAUAAAAUCCAGGUCUUUUUCACCUGGAAAAGCACAGUAGCAUCCAGUUAUAACUGGGUCCUUUGUUUGAAAUGUGAGAUUGUACAUGUAAACCAAAUAGAGAGUACUGAAACGUUCAUUGCCUAGGCAAAUACAGUCUACUUCUUGUGUACUGCCAAGUAAGGAAAAGAUGGUGGCUUGUCUAGAGAGAAGAGAGUCAAUACCACUGAAAUAAAAACUCAGAAUUAAAGGAUCAAGCCUGAAAUUCCUCUUCUUGUUCAUCUUCUUUUUGCUCACAACUCCCAAAGGUCACGACACAUUUCUCAUGGAAGCCAGGAUCCUUGGUGAUGGGCAUCUUGCCCUGCCCCUUGAGUAGGCAAUGAGGUGCAAAUGACAGCUUACUUCAAAGCUCACUCAACAGGAUAUUGGGAUGAUGACCAGGGCUCAUGCAGUCAGAGGGAGGCACAUCUGCUCAGAGGUCCCAUCUUGAGCCAGUGAGGGCAGGAAAAUGGAGGCAGAACCUAAUGACCCUAGUGACCUUUCCAAGAGUUUCCUCUUGCUCCACACCAUGGCUGAGGUCUCAACAGCAUGUCCUGAAAGGACAGUGAGAAGUUAGCCAUGCCAUGAUGCAAGUCACCGUAUCCUCCAUGCUGUCCUGGAACUGUCUGCUCUCCUCCGUUUUCCUGCUUUCUUGGGCAAUCAGGAGGGAGGGAGUGAAGAAGAGUCACUGUGGCAAAACUGAAACUGGCCUCCGAAUGGCCUGCUUGUAAGGCUGGCCUUUGGCUGGUGUCUGGGAACUUGAGUUUCAGUAAUCUUCCCAUCUUUCCCUAAUUGACAAAUGUGGCUCCCUGGGCCUAAACUCUCCAAAAAGUUGUGGUUUGGCAGACUUUCGCAGACUGGGAAAGGAGUCCAGGGUGAGAGAAGGGAAGGGGUUUGCAAGGGGCGUGAAGGGACCCUAAAAUGACCAGUGUAUGAUUUAUAUAUGUACUUUUUCUUCAAAAUUACGUAUUACAGACACACACUAAUAAAGAAAUUGUGGUUCUUACUGAAUAAUGCUUGUUUCUCUUUGGAAGCUAGGUAUGAGGAUAUUAGGAUGAUGACUCUUUCAGCUGCAGAAGAGCAAUAGGCUAGGGCUCAUGCAAUUAGAGGGCGUUUAAAUGUCCCCAGUAAAAACUCCAGGUACGGAGUCUCUAUGGAGAUUCCCUGGGAGACAACAUGAC
Molecule: long non-coding RNA, 5294 nt
Organism: Heterocephalus glaber (naked mole-rat)
Lineage: Eukaryota; Metazoa; Chordata; Mammalia; Rodentia; Bathyergidae
Source: Ensembl